Molecule: long non-coding RNA, 1150 nt
Filed under: Homo sapiens (human)
Lineage: Eukaryota; Metazoa; Chordata; Mammalia; Primates; Hominidae
Description: novel transcript
Source: RNAcentral
UUGUUUUUAAAAAGUCUAACUAGAAAAUGGAAUGAGUCCUGUAAUAUGUACUCAAAUAACUCCUUUUGUUCUGUAUCCAACCAGUGCAUUACUUUUACUAGGUAAAAACUCUGAUUCUGUCACCAUUUCUUUGUGAAGUAUUAGUCUUACAGCUGUCACAAGAACUUUGUGUCAACACAAACACAGCGGCUGUUUCUUAUCGUCUUUUUGGAAAUGUCAUCUGGUGGAUUAAUGAGUCUCUGGUCUGGAUUGAUAGUUUGUGUCUUCUUUCAAGCCCUUUUCUAUCUGGUGUACAUCUUGAGGAUAAACUGGAGCAAAGUUGUGGAGCAGGCACAGGUUCAAGCUGGACUAAAAGGGAAUAAAGAGACCAUGCCUACCUCCUCAGAUCUACCUAUCUUGGGAAGAGAAGUAACUGAUGGAAUCAUUUUGCCUGAUAUCAUCAGACCAGAGAGCCAGACCCCUCGACUGAUGAGACCAGAAGAAAACACCCAGUAUGCAAUGUCCACCGCUGGAGAGGUCCUGACAGUGAGGCAGCUGAUAUUCUAUCAUGGAAUGGCUUUAGCUCUUGCUGUCACUUUCCUUUCAGCAGGAAUUUUCAUUAAGAGUUUUCAAUGACCAUGGCUAAAAUGGUAGAAUUACCACCAUUCUACAAACUAGAAAUGAUAAUUAUAUGCCAUAUGUUAAGUAUGAAAGGUGACCUUGUUAUUUGGACAGUUUUUACUCUUAACUGUGGAUGGAAAGAAUAUCAGGGAUGUUUCCUUGGUUAUUCCAAGGAAUUGCACUAUCCUAUUGGAGAUCAAGAAAGGGGCUAUAAUUUUAAGUAAAGUUUUCCCUGUUAAUUUUAUCAUGGUUUCUAAAUAUACAAAUUAGAUUUUCCUUGAUGUAAAGGUUACUUACUCUUUCUUAUUUCAAACAUCUUUCUUCUCCUGGGGAGUGGUUCAUAGUCCUGUAAAAUAUUAUUGCUGAUCUAUUUUCUUUGUAUUUCUCUAUGAAUGUACUUAAUCUUGUCAGUGAGUGUAUAUUAAGUGCUUGUUCAAGUCCUAUCUCAGGUAUUGCCAUAUAAGCUUUUAUAAAAUGGAACCUCUUAAAAUUUACAAUGUAUGCUGACAAUAUUUGGAGCUAUACAGUCAAUACAAAAGAUUAACUUUUA